RNAcentral lists this ribosomal RNA (692 nucleotides) under uncultured bacterium. RNAcentral describes it as "bacterial SSU rRNA". It matches the Rfam family "Bacterial small subunit ribosomal RNA", at positions 144 to 822 of the family's 1533-position model. The record is from RNAcentral.
UACGCUCUGGAAACGGAGAACAAAUCCCGAUGUACAGGAAGGAGGCAUCUUCUUUCUGUGAAACAUCCUUUAGGGGAUGGGGCGCGGAUGGACCUGCGGUGCAUUAGUUGGUUGGCGGGGUAAAGGCCCACCAAGACGAUGAUGCAUAGCCGGCCUGAGAGGGCGGACGGCCACAUUGGGACUGAGACACGGCCCAGACUCCUGCGGGAGGCAGCAGUAGGGAAUUUUCGUCAAUGGGCGCAAGCCUGAACGAGCGAUGCCGCGUGAGUGAAGAAGGCCUUCGGGUCGUAAAGCUCUGUUGCGGGGGAAAAAAGGCAGCAUCAGGAAAUGGGUGCUGACUGAUGGUGCCCCGCCAGAAAGUCACGGCUAACUACGUGCCAGCAGCCGCGGUAAUACGUAGGUGGCGAGCGUUAUCCGGAAUGAUUGGGCGUAAAGGGUGCGCAGGCGGUCCUGCAAGUCUGGAGUGAAACGCAUGAGCUCAACUCAUGCAUGGCUUUGGAAACUGGAGGACUGGAGAGCAGGAGAGGGCGGUGGAACUCCAUGUGUAGCGGUAAAAUGCGUAGAUAUAUGGAAGAACACCUGUGGCGAAGGCGGCCGCCUGGCCUGUUGCUGACGCUGAGGCACGAAAGCGUGGGGAGCAAAUAGGAUUAGAUACCCUAGUAGUCCACGCCGUAAACGAUGAGGACCAAGUG